GCUCCAUUGGCCUAAUGGUAAGGCGUCCGCCUCCUAAACUAAGAUUCGAUAAAAAGAAUUUUGUGACUGGACGUUGUCAAGCGGAAGACUGCGGGUUCGAGUCCCGUGUGGAGUG
Molecule: non-coding RNA, 115 nt
Organism: Myxozyma melibiosi
Lineage: Eukaryota; Fungi; Ascomycota; Lipomycetes; Lipomycetales; Lipomycetaceae
Source: the annotation of a RefSeq genome assembly